CCUACGGGUGGCAGCAGUGGGGAAUAUUGCACAAUGGGGGAAACCCUGAUGCAGCGACGCCGCGUGAGUGAAGAAGUAUUUCGGUAUGUAAAGCUCUAUCAGCAGGGAAGAAAAUGACGGUACCUGAUUAAGAAGCCCCGGCUAACUACGUGCCAGCAGCCGCGGUAAUACGUAGGGGGCAAGCGUUAUCCGGAUUUACUGGGUGUAAAGGGGGCGUAGACGGCAGCACAAGUCUGGAGUGAAAUGCCGGGGGUUAACCCCUGAACUGCUUUUGAAACUGUGCAGCUAGAGUGUAGGAGGGGUAAGUGGAAUUCCUAGUGUAGCGGUGAAAUGCGUAGAUAUUAGGAGGAACACCAGUGGCGAAGGCGGCUUACUGGACUGUAACUGACGUUGAGGCUCGAAAGCGUGGGGAGCAAACAGGAUUAGAUACCCGUGUAGUC
RNAcentral lists this ribosomal RNA (440 nucleotides) under uncultured bacterium. RNAcentral describes it as "partial 16S ribosomal RNA". It matches the Rfam family "Bacterial small subunit ribosomal RNA", at positions 338 to 795 of the family's 1533-position model. The record is from RNAcentral.